Molecule: ribosomal RNA, 253 nt
Filed under: uncultured bacterium
Lineage: Bacteria
Description: partial 16S ribosomal RNA
Rfam family: Bacterial small subunit ribosomal RNA
Source: RNAcentral
UACAGAGGGUGCUAGCGUUGUUCGGAAUUACUGGGCGUAAAGGGCUCGUAGGUGGCCAACUAAGUCAGACGUGAAAUCCCUCAGCUUAACUGGGGAACUGCGUCUGAUACUGGAUGGCUUGAGUUUGGGAGAGGGAUGCGGAAUUCCAGGUGUAGCGGUGAAAUGCGUAGAUAUCUGGAGGAACACCGGUGGCGAAGGCGGCAUCCUGGACCAACACUGACACUGAGGAGCGAAAGCCAGGGGAGCAAACGGG